GGCCUUGCCCCGCUCCGACCGAAUCCCUAUCUUCCACCUUGCCGGAGCAAUCCGGCUACGUCGGUAGAGUAUCGGGUGAAAUAAGCGUUUCGGACCCGGGGGCAGUACCCCGGCGCCUCCACCACCAGCGGCAGACCUGGCCGUUGCUGAUGGGGGCGAAAUAGGAUCGACGAGCGUGGUAAAGGCCUGGUUGCCGAUCGGUAUGAGACCACCGCGACGGCUCAUUCACACAAGUGCCAACGAUAACGAGGCUCUUGCUAUUGCUGCGUAACUGAUGGCCUUACGGUCCUAAGUUACAAAGACAAAAGCGCGGUCGGACCCCACCGGGCAACAGAAGGGGAUUCCA
This 346-nucleotide transfer-messenger RNA is filed under the name Sphingomonas piscis. RNAcentral's name for it is "Sphingomonas sp. HDW15B transfer-messenger RNA". It matches the Rfam family "Alphaproteobacteria transfer-messenger RNA". Rfam says of the family: Bacterial tmRNA, also known as 10Sa RNA or SsrA, is named for its dual tRNA and mRNA-like properties. Its role is to liberate the mRNA from a stalled ribosome. Lineage: Bacteria; Pseudomonadati; Pseudomonadota; Alphaproteobacteria; Sphingomonadales; Sphingomonadaceae. The record is from RNAcentral.